This is a non-coding RNA of Schizosaccharomyces pombe (fission yeast), 699 nucleotides long. The record is from the annotation of a GenBank genome assembly. Lineage: Eukaryota; Fungi; Ascomycota; Schizosaccharomycetes; Schizosaccharomycetales; Schizosaccharomycetaceae.
AAAUGUAAAAGCUCAUAAUUUGUUCUAGGUAUCGAGAUAACGUUCUAUUUACAUAGCCGAUUUGAAAAUAGCCUUUACCUCGUCAUGUGUAGGCUGAAUAGGGUUAGUAGCACCACAAGCAUCCUUCAUAGCGUGGUCAACCAAGACAUCAAAAUCUUUUUCCUUGACACCUAGAUCAACUAGAUGAGGACGAAUUUUAACUUCAAGAACAAGUUGACUGAUGCGGUCAAGAGCUGCUUCGGCAGUAUGCUCUUCACAACCCAAGUGAAAAGCAAUAUCACCAAGGCGAGCAUUUGCUCUUGGAUCCCUAGAAUUAAAUUUCUGUACAUGGGCAAGAAGAACAGCGUUACAGACGCCAUGUGGAAUACCGUAGAAACCACCAAGUUGAUGAGCCAUAGCAUGAACAUAACCCAAAGAUGCGUUGUUAAAUGCCAUACCACCAAGGAAUUCGGCAUAAGCCAUAUUGUCUCUAGCCUCUUCGUCCUUGCCGUUGUCGACAGCACGCUUCAAAUACUUAUUAACGAGUUCGAUGCAUUUGACAGCACAAGCAUCGGUGAUGGGAUUAGCAGCAGUAGAGACGUAAGCUUCAACAGCAUGAGUCAAAGCGUCCAUACCAGUAGCAGCGGUCAAGGAAGGAGGUAAUCCAUACAUUGUUUCAGGAUCGUUAACGGAAAGGAUAGGCAUAGUAUGCUUAUCGAU